UACGUAGGUGGCAAGCGUUGUCCGGAAUUAUUGGGCGUAAAGCGCGCGCAGGUGGUUUCUUAAGUCUGAUGUGAAAGCCCCCGGCUCAACCGGGGAGGGUCAUUGGAAACUGGGAGACUUGAGUGCAGAAGAGGAAAGUGGAAUUCCAAGUGUAGCGGUGAAAUGCGUAGAGAUUUGGAGGAACACCAGUGGCGAAGGCGACUUUCUGGUCUGUAACUGACACUGAGGCGCGAAAGCGUGGGGAGCAAAC
This 250-nucleotide ribosomal RNA is filed under the name uncultured bacterium. RNAcentral describes it as "partial 16S ribosomal RNA". It matches the Rfam family "Bacterial small subunit ribosomal RNA", at positions 524 to 773 of the family's 1533-position model. The record is from RNAcentral.